GCAACGUGGUCACUCCAACCCAUGUGACGUUACCAAACUGUUGCCUCGGCGGGAUCUCUGCCGGGGUGCGUCGCAGCCCCGGACCAAGGCGCCCGCCGGAGGACCAACCAAAACUCUUUUUGUAUACCCCCUCGCGGGUUUUUUAUAAUCUGAGCCUUCUCGGCGCCUCUCGUAGGCGUUUCGAAAAUGAAUCAAAACUUUCAACAACGGAUCUCUUGGUUCUGGCAUCGAUGAAGAACGCAGCGAAAUGCGAUAAGUAAUGUGAAUUGCAGAAUUCAGUGAAUCAUCGAAUCUUUGAACGCACAUUGCGCCCGCCAGUAUUCUGGCGGGCAUGCCUGUCCGAGCGUCAUUUCAACCCUCGAACCCCUCCGGGGGGUCGGCGUUGGGGAUCGGCCCUGCCUCUUGGCGGUGGCCGUCUCCGAAAUACAGUGGCGGUCUCGCCGCAGCCUCUCCUGCGCAGUAGUUUGCACACUCGCAUCGGGAGCGCGGCGCGUCCACAGCCGUUAAACACCCAACUUCUGAAAUGUUGACCUCGGAUCAGGUAGGAAUACCCGCUGAACUUAAGCAUAUCAAUAAGCGGAGGAACAUAUCAAU
This 594-nucleotide ribosomal RNA is filed under the name uncultured Trichoderma. RNAcentral's name for it is "eukaryotic LSU rRNA". The stretch from base 196 to 349 matches the Rfam family "5.8S ribosomal RNA". The record is from RNAcentral. Lineage: Eukaryota; Fungi; Ascomycota; Sordariomycetes; Hypocreales; Hypocreaceae.